This 204-nucleotide long non-coding RNA is filed under the name Capsicum annuum. Its description in RNAcentral is "long non-coding RNA (CANN_LNC003699)". The record is from RNAcentral. Lineage: Eukaryota; Viridiplantae; Streptophyta; Magnoliopsida; Solanales; Solanaceae.
UAAGAAGGUGGCUUAUACUAAGUUGGUUGAGAGUAAUAAUAAUGAGGAGAGGCGGACGAAUAAGGAGGAGUAUAAUAUAGCCAGGAGAGAGGCGAAGUUAGCGGUUACGGCGGCGAAGACGUAGCUUUUGAAAGCUUGUAUGCGACUUUAAAGGAGAAAGGAGAGGAUAAAAAGUUGCGCAGGCUUGCCAAGACCAGGGAGCGG